This 577-nucleotide ribosomal RNA is filed under the name uncultured Actinomycetes bacterium. RNAcentral's name for it is "bacterial SSU rRNA". It matches the Rfam family "Bacterial small subunit ribosomal RNA", at positions 82 to 658 of the family's 1533-position model. The record is from RNAcentral. Lineage: Bacteria; Bacillati; Actinomycetota; Actinomycetes.
CUGUGGUGGAUUAGUGGCGAACGGGCGAGUAACACGUGAGUAACCUGUCCUUUUCUUUGGGAUAACGGCUGGAAACGGCUGCUAAUACUGGAUAUUCAGGCUGCAUCGCAUGGUGUGGUUUGGAAAGGUUUUUUCUGGGAUUGGGUGGGCUCGCGGCCUAUCAGCUUGUUGGUGGGGUGAUGGCUUACCAAGGCUUUGACGGGUAGCCGGCCUGAGAGGGUGGUCGGUCGCACUGGGACUGAGAUACGGCCCAGACUCCUACGGGAGGCAGCAGUGGGGAAUAUUGCACAAUGGACGAAAGUUUGAUGCAGCGACGCCGCGUGGAGGGUGUAGGCCUUCGGGUUGUGAACUCCUUUUUCUCGCGAAAAAGGCACAGUUUUGGCUGUGUUGAUGGUAGUGGGGGAAGAAGCGCCGGCUAACUACGUGCCAGCAGCCGCGGUAAUACGUAGGGCGCGAGCGUUGUCCGGAUUUAUUGGGCGUAAAGAGCUCGUAGGUGGUUCGUCGCGUCUGUCGUGAAAGCCAGCAGCUUAACUGUUGGUCUGCGGUGGGUACGGGCGGGCUUGAGUGCGGUAGGGGU